UGAGGAACAUGACCUCCGGCGGGGGAUAGCCGGCCCAACGGCCGGGUAAUACCGCGUACGACCACAUGGGGGACAUCCCUGAGUGGUGAAAGCAGCAAUGCGCCGAUGGAGUGCCUCGCGGCCUAUCAGCUAGUUGGUGAGGUAACGGCUCACCAAGGCGACGACGGGUAGCUGGUCUGAGAGGAUGGCCAGCCACACUGGAACUGAGAUACGGUCCAGACCUCUACGGGAGG
Molecule: ribosomal RNA, 233 nt
Filed under: uncultured bacterium
Lineage: Bacteria
Description: partial 16S ribosomal RNA
Rfam family: Bacterial small subunit ribosomal RNA
Source: RNAcentral